UUUAGGGAGACCUACACCCCUCAAAUAUUGAAAGCAAACAGCAAAUAAAUAUUGAGAUGGUCAAACCUAGGUCGGUCGAGGUUGGUAAAUAGCUUUCAAAGUAUUAGUGGUUCAGUAAAUAUCAACAUCAGUUAAAAACUAAGAAAAAUUCAGCAACAUGGCCAUAGCCAGACUGCUGGGUAAGAAUCCAGCCAGAACCUUGAAAACUGCAUAGGAAUGCGAAAAAAGCAGGCAGACAUAGACAUUAGUGAGUGCCAAGUCUUGGUGCUGAUUAGAAUCAGUGUUACUUAGACGAAGCAGUCAAAAAAAGAAAGUGUUUGCAAUUGAAGGCAAUUGUUUGAGU
This 343-nucleotide unclassified non-coding RNA is filed under the name Desmonostoc geniculatum HA4340-LM1. RNAcentral's name for it is "16S-23S ribosomal RNA intergenic spacer". The record is from RNAcentral. Lineage: Bacteria; Bacillati; Cyanobacteriota; Cyanophyceae; Nostocales; Nostocaceae.